Panthera uncia (snow leopard) is the source of this 7200-nucleotide long non-coding RNA. RefSeq lists it as uncharacterized. The record is from RefSeq and is a predicted model, not a curated record. Lineage: Eukaryota; Metazoa; Chordata; Mammalia; Carnivora; Felidae. The transcript has 2 exons.
UGUAGAUUGACAGAAUGUGUCAAUUGGAAGGAAUAUUCAAGUGUCUCUAAUCCAACCUUGUUUUAUAGAUUGAUUAUCAAAUUGAUUCUCAGAAGAGGUAACAUGGUAAAACCUGGACUAGAUCUCACAUCUAUAGAUGCUAAGUCCUGGUGUCUUUCCUCCACGCUGUCUCUUUGAUUCUGUCAUUUAUUAUGUCAGUGAAUUGUUUUGGCAAGCUUUAGUGGCUUUGUAUUUAAACUUCUGCCAAAGUACAAUUGCAGUUACUAUGAAUACUAUAUAUAUGAUACUUCUCCAUAUAUAUAUAUAUAUAUAUAUAUAUGUGUGUGUGUGUGUGUGUGUGUAUACAUAUAUAUAUGGAUAUAUAUACAUAUAUACACGCAUUAUACUAAUACAUACUAUAUUAUAUAUAAUGUGUGGAAUAUAAUAUAGUAUGUAGUAUAUGUGUGUGUGUACUAUGUAUGAUAUACGCAUCAUACAAACUAUAUAAAUGCUUGUUUAAGUAUCGCUAAGUUCAAGACACCACUCUAUUACUGUGUUUCAAAAAAAAGUUCAAAAAAAUCCUAUUUGAAGCCUGUUUCAGUUAUUAAGUCUCUCAAACAUUUAUCUUUUGUUUAUUGACAUGGGCCUCCCAGAUUUCCGUUCCUUUUGUUCAACUGUAGUAAAUUUGGCAUUAAAAGAUGAUAUUCUAUCCUUGCUUCCUUUAUAGAGUUGCACCAAAGUCAAUGAGACUUUUACACAAAAAUCAAGGAUACGUUAUGAUCUCGGAGUACUCACUUAAAGACUGUAGAACAGACCCACAAGACUAAGUUCAGUGCCUGGUAAGGGGUUCGUGCUAAAUUUAACAUUGCAGAAGAGUUUCCAGCUGUUGGCUUGAUAUGAAUGAGGAGAGCUGCUUUUAUGACUGAUUACUGUCCUCGGGAGGAAGAGGGAAGCAGAGUGAUUCUACAUCACCAAUCCACAGAGUGCUGUGCAUAUUCUGUGGCAUUGAUUUGAGGAGGCUCAUGACUUUAAUGCCUCCCUUUAUCAGUUGUCAUGACUCUAGGCUUUGAACAUUCUAAAACCCAGGAAGAGAAGAACAGGAAUAUGUAUAACUUUAGAUGUAGAAAAUACUAGGAUAAAGUAAAAUUACCCUUUUUUAAUUUCAUGGUGGUAAGUCACUUGUGGUUUGUCACUCUCAGUAAAGUAACCCAACUAGACUUUAUUUGCCAGCUGUACUUAAAGAUCUUGGUUUUAUGUUUUUAAAAAUGUCAUCUAUUCCUUCAAUCACUUGUAAGUCCCCUGUAAUCUCUUUUUAAUGUAAGCACACUGGAGUUUUCUCUUUUGUUUGCUGCCCUUGCAUUAUUUACUUUGAUCUGCUGUGAGAAAAUCCGAAAGUGUGUUGUCCUAAAUGCUAGCAUCUCACCAACAAGAUUUGAGGCCUUGUAGUUUGCAUUGAAGAAAAAGGCUCUUGUGUGAAGACGCAGGUUUUGUUUAGUUCUCUCUCCCUGGUGGGAGCCUUAAUUGCAUUUUCUCUCUCUCACAGUGGCUGGCUAAGGAGUGCCUGCCUUCCCUGCUGAUGCUGAAGUUUUCAAGCUCUAUUACUCUGUGACGGAGAAAAUUCCUUGGUCCAGGAAGAAAAGGGUCAGAUUUAAAAAAAAAAAAAAUGUGUUUAAAUAAGUAUUGUCAAUUUACUGUGCACAAUUAACAAAAAGAAGAAGAAACAAUAGAAAAGCUUAAUGUUUUUCCCCCUAAAAAUCUUAUAGAAGCUUUAUGUAACCCAAUUUAUAAAAUAUCCAGUUCUAAAUAUAAAAGGCUCAGUCCUUAGGGCAAAGAGGUUAGACUUAAUAAUAACCAGUAAAUGCCCCCCCCCCCCCCCCCCACAAUAGCAUUAAUCUGUGUCCUUUCUUAGCCAUUCUGAAAAGUUCUCUGUAAGUCCGUCUGCAUAUGUGAUUAAAAUGUGUAGUCCAGGUUAUUUCUGGAGUUAGUACUAAGCACUGACAUAUAUGCCAUUUUCAGUUAAGUUACAAAGAUCUAAUUUUAUUAACCUUUUAACUUUCUAUUUUGACUUUCUGAGUGUACAAGCGAUAUGCUUAAAUCAUUACUACUGAAAAGAAUAUUUUAAUUUUCUUCUCAUCUGACAAAGUAUACUUCCCCUUAACUGGCUUUGAGGCUGUACUUGCCAUGUCUGCUUCCACUUUCUGUAUUUCUCGUCAUGAUGGGACGCAAGGCAAUCACAGCAUCUACGUAACAUUUUCAAUUGCAAAGCAUCUUCAACACGGAAACUAUACUGAUCUACAUUCACAAUAAUGCUUGUUUAUUGUUUGAGAGUUAAAUGUUUUUAUGCACAUAUACAUAAACUAAUUGUGUUGUUUGAAAAGUACGGCUUGUUAUUCUACUCAAAUGGAUUACUCAAGUAAAAAAUUUUAUUGGGCAAGAUCUUAUUUUAUCCUAUUGCUUACUUCUAGACCUUGGUAUGUUAGGCUUUCUGCUGACUUCUUAACUUUCUCAUGCAUCAGCUGUGUUCCUUCUCUUCUUUUUUUCCCUUCUCCCGUAACCUCCUUAUAUUCUCACCUGCCCUGUUCUAAGCCAUUAUUCAACAAUGUCUCCCCUCAUGCUACUCUCUGAAUGGUCUGAUCUCUGCUACUUGUUUGCAAGUGAUCUGAGAGAGGGCCCAUCUUGUCUAGGGAUAAAAGUGGGGUUUUCUGAUGGAUCGUUGGGUAGACAGUGGAAAGAUUCAUUGGUAGAAAUAGCAUGGGAUUAGUUGCUUGAGAACAGAGCAAGAGAGAAUGGAAAAGUUAGAAAGCUAAGUAGGUGAAUAGUAGAAAGAUGCUAAGCAGAAAACGUGAAGACACCUUUCUUGAGGUUGGGAUUAAGGAUUUUAGCUCUGACCAUACUCUCCCAUUAGUAAUCACUGGGCCUUUCAGGCUUUGUGCAAUGAGCUGAACCCAGUCAACAGAAUCUUUUCAACUAUAUUGAAAAGCAGUGAUCCAACACAUGAAGUGAAAACAUCUCCUUGAUACAAGAGUACACACGGCUUUAGAACACAUUAACAUUAUAAGACAGAUAUGAUUGUCAUUAAAAACAGCAUCAGGAAGCCUAUGUCUUGCUUUAUUAUCUUCAAACUGGUUAGCAAUGUAAAGAGAACCUUCUAAAAACUAAUUUAAAUGCAUAAUAUACAUUUGAACAUGGGGCACUUUUUUGGGUUAGUUUCAGGAUGGUGAUUUUUAAAUGUUUACAGCAAUCACGUUUGAGUGCUAAGAGGAUUUUUUUUUUUUUCACUGAAUGGUUCACUGGCAGAUGACAUAGAGAGACAUACUCCCAUAAUUUUGUUCUUCCUAAUCAGUGAAAAAUAAAAUGGAAGAAAGUUACAAAGACAUUAUAGGAUUUCUUAAUAAUUUUAAGGACCAUUAUAUAUGUUUAAUUUUGAGAAUUCAAGAGCUAAUGUAUCCUUAUUAAUUUUUUGUUCAGAAUAUUCUCAUAUUUUAGAACUGUCAAAAUUGGAAAUAAGGAAUAAAGUACAUUUUUUAGACAGUUCAAAGCACUCUGUUAGCAUAUUUUAUAUCCCUUGAAUCCCAUUAUGUGUUUUUAUAAAUACUUCUUAGAGUUUAUUCUUUUUCUAUUUAUUGUCACCUCUACUUGAAAAAUUGUCAGUUAGGAUCUAUACAUAGCUGAAAUCUUAGGACAGGUCUAGAUAAUUCAGCAAGUGGCUAUUCUCUUCAUCAGCACAUUUUAUUAUGGUAGAAAUUCUCUAUGAUGAAGGCUAAGGAACCUGAUUAUUUUUUUAAAUAGGUCAAGAAAUGGAUCAGAAAAUCUGCAGGGGAUUUAUCUCUGUUUCUAGUACUCCGUAAUGACAAAACUUUCUUUGGCUAAUGAGCAUGUCUAGAUGAAUUCAAAUAUAUGGAGAAAAGAGUAGAAGCGGCAGUGGACUUCUAAGAGAAUUGGUAUAAUUGCAGUGAUUGAAUUCAAAAGAUUCUAAAUAGUUUGAAAGGAGUGAAAAGUGACAGGUUAGUUAAACCAAAUAUGCUCUAUUUUCUUAUAAGAAUGGGUAUAAAUCACAUGAACAUAAAAGAACAUACACCAUUUUGUGCACCAAUUCAGAACUAAAAAAAUGAAACUCCUGACAACAUUCUGGCCUUAAAAUUUCCUACUUUCUCUCUCUUACAUGAGUGCCAUAUUUGUUCCACCUUUAUUCUGGGGCUACGUUUAACCAUUUAUUCAUUUUUUAUGCACUGACUUCUUGAAACACUGUUUAUUGAGCACUUAAAUGGGGCAGGUGCUGUCUGGCCUACAAAGUGAAGUUCUAGUAGUCAAAAACAUCUUAAACAUAAGAGAUUGGACAAAGAUAGUUUUUACGUAUAAUAAGCUAUUUAUUCAUUAAGAUACCUGAUAUCACCAUUAUAAACCCAAAUAUUGUGCCAAGAUACAUGUCACCUUCAAGAAAAAUUCAAAACCACUAUGCUGUUGUCCUGAAGUUCUUACUUUCAUGCUAAUACUUUUUUUUUUAACUUUGGGUUUUAUUACUUUACCUUGCAGAAUCUAUACUCCAUCAUCUAGGAUAAGGGCCAACCUUAUGUUAUUCAGUCAAUACAGUAGAGAUAAUAUUAUCCUGUUUCCAUUUUUAUGCCUCUCAAAAGGAAAAAAAAAUCCUUAAAUAUAAUCUAAACUACGUUUUGUGUCUUUCUUUUAUAUUUUCAUCCAUUCAUUCUUUAAAUGCCAGCCCCAGUGACACUUUCUCUGUGAAACUCUCCUUGCCCAAUCACUGAGCAAGAGUCAAGUAUAGCAUAGAAAGGCAUUUAAAUUUCAAUUACUCCUCUUAUAAUCCAUUGUAACCAUUCAUUCUCUUGUGCCCUUUCUACUAAAGGCUGUGUGUGCACUUGGAGGGCAUGUACUGUCUGUUAUCAUCUCUGUAUUCUGGUUACCUUGGCACAAUAUCUAAGCCAUAACAGCUCAGUAGAUAUUUCUUGAAUUAAUUUAAUCCUCUUAUAAUUACUGUUUAAACUCUUUUAUCUUACAUCUUUGGGACCUCUGUCUAUCCUUUGAUAGGAAAAUAAAAGCAGAGGUCUUGAUCUUGUUUUUAUACAAUACUAAAUAAAUCUCAGCUCUUUCUUGUCUGUAGGAAAAUGUAAAAUCCCAUUCCUAAGACUUAAUUUGAAAAUUUGGGUUUAGAAUGAGAAUACAAAUUGAGAGCGAUUAGCUGGUUUGCAUUAUUUUCUGUUGGUCUUUUGUUGUCUUUCAUUUUUUUUUUUUUUCAGGAAAGCAUCACUAAGAAUCGAAUUUAGGUAUUUUUACAGUUGGCUGUUAGAUUCAGGAAUCUGUUAACAUGUCCUAAUCUUUCUGCUAUUAUCAUAACUUCUUCCUGUGCAAGUACAUGGGAACAUGUGCAUGUACGUCAGUAGGUAUGCAUGCAUGUGUGUGCACGUGUGUGUGAGCGUGUGUGUAUGUAUGUGUAGCCACUGACUAGUCUUCUGAAGCAACACCUUUAUUAUCUUUGUUCUUAUCUUCCACUGUCAACUCCAGUCUCUUCUUCUUAAUCCUUCCUGUGAAAAUGGCUUGAAGGAUUUUGAGAAAGUUUUGUUUCGUGUAAUUUUGGUAGAGGCAGUUCUCUUACUUGGAAUAAACUAGAUAAAAUAAUUUGACUGUGGUUAACAAAUCCAUACCCCCACUUACCAGAACUAUAAGCCAGCCAUAGCAUGAGCUGUUAAUACAUAUUUUUGCACUAUGAAAAUUUCAGAUAGGCAGUAAUAACUAUCACAAAUAAAUAUCUCAUUCUUUGAUUUUCCAAGAUUAUUUGGUAGGAGAGGGAGACUAAGAAAUUAAGUCCAAUUCAUACACAUUGAGGGGAAAGGGAUGUACAGAGAUAAAUAAGACAGUCUAUAUGAUUUUUAUGGGAGAUUUGUAACUAUACUAAUAACUGUAAUUCAAAGCAUUAUUUGGUACAAAUGUUACCAACAUUACAAGUAAUUAGGCACUGAAACAAUUAGAAGGAUAAGAAAGUAUUUAUUUUCUAAUGACAUGUUGUUUAAGAUGGGUUUUGGGGAAUAGGAGGAAAAGACAUGGUUGGAGUGUGUCCGUUUUGCCAGAAAUGUAAGAAUUUGAGGAUGAUGCUGUAGUUAAGAUGUUAGGGACAACUUUGUUGAGCAGUAAGUAUAUGGUUGAGAAACUGGUACUUGCCCUGGUAAGCAGUGUGGUGCCAUUGAAACUUUCUGAAGAUGGUAUGAUCUGAUCCAGUUCAACCUUUAAGAACACCUACGUAAAAGGUUCAUAAGCUUUUUGUAUGACCUAUUUCAGAAAACAGAAAAACAAAAACAAAAACAAAAAAAAAACCAAACCUGAGGAAAUGCUAUAGUAAACUGAGGUUGCCGUCUUGUCUUGGAAACAGUCUGUUCAGUCCAGAUAGAGAUUUUCAACCAUACAAAUUUGUUGUCAAAUUUAGAGUAGGAUUUUUAAACAAAAAUCCAUAGAAGAAUUCUAAAGCUCUGGCCUCUACAUUGGCAUGGCAACAAUUGUCUAGAGGUGAGUCGUAGUUUGCUUCUUUUCUGUGGUACCUGUGUGCUGGUUCAUAUCAGUCAUCAUAAGGUCUGGAUGUUUCCUGCUUGGUUCUUGAAGCAUUUAUUAUAACCUAAUGAACAAAAAAAGAAGCGAGAUAUUGAUCUGGUAAAAUGGUACCAUAUUGGAGCUGUCUGUUGUGGUAUUCAUCAUGCUGUCACAUCCCGAGUGCCUUGGAGUUAUUGGAAAGUGGAAUUGAGAGAGUUCUGUCAUUUGGUGUGGCAAUCCAUUCACAGGACAGUCACUACAAUAUUUGCAAUGGUUUGCUUAUUUUUCUAGCCAGGCUACCUUCAUCUUGAGUAACAAGAAGGCCUUCCUAUUAUCCCAUGCAUAGUAGUAUUAAUAGGUCACAUGUAACUGUUCUCUAGCUUGUCUUACUGGGAUAACAUGACUCUUUUUCUAAGUCAGUGCUCACACUUGCUGCCUGUCCCUGCACUCAUGAUGCACUGGGUUCAUUCCUAUGGGACCAGUAUAUCUGAGUGUGGCUUCAAGCCCCUUAUGCUUUUAUCUGAUGGUGGUGAGGAGGUAAAAGAUGAACUUUUAUAUGUAGAAAGCUUUUAGUUUCUUCCCACACUAAAAUAUCAGUUAAUGUUAAAAGAGCUUUCAAAAGUAUAAAAAGAUACUGUCAAUCUUCAAUGACUAGAUUAAAGAGUUUGAAUGAAUUAUUUUUGUUUU